UAACUCCAAGGCAAAAGUACCAACAAAAGUACAUGGAGUAGUAUCAAAGUGAGAAAAGCCUUGGAAAGUCCAAGAAGAGAAGCAUGGUAGAAGAAUCAAUAUAAUCUGGAGAGAGAUAUUGAGGGCGAUGAAAGCUUUCCUGAUAACAGAACUAAGACUAGGAUAUAUGGUGCACAGAAUUUAUUCUUAUAUGGAUCAAAUUUUCUCAGAUAAUUAUGGCUCAGCCUUUUCAUCUCUUCUGCUUGCAAACCUUCAGAUGUGAAGUUUUACUCGUGGGCAUCAUAACUGAAGCCUGCUCAAAUGUGGUGAAUGAGUUGUCUUCAGUUUCUCUGGCUGGAUCAAUGUAGAGAAGGGAUAUUUGAGGAGUUGCAAUUGUUCAUAAAAUAGUCUUUGCUAGGUACACGUUUUAGGCAUGCAAUUUGGAUUU
This 427-nucleotide unclassified non-coding RNA is filed under the name Hevea brasiliensis (rubber tree). Lineage: Eukaryota; Viridiplantae; Streptophyta; Magnoliopsida; Malpighiales; Euphorbiaceae. The record is from RNAcentral.